Molecule: RNA transcript, 1389 nt
Organism: Scaptodrosophila lebanonensis
Lineage: Eukaryota; Metazoa; Arthropoda; Insecta; Diptera; Drosophilidae
Gene: Oscillin
Gene name: glucosamine-6-phosphate isomerase
Exons: 5
Source: RefSeq, a predicted model, not a curated record
UUUAUAGUUUAUAAUAAUAGUUUAUAAACACUUGCAUAUUAAAUUUUUAGUUUCAAAAUGAGAUUGGUAAUAUUGGAUACAAGUAAAUCGGUUGGCGAAUGGGCUGCCAAAUAUGUAAUGAAACGGAUAAAUGAUUUCAAACCUGGUCCGGAAAGACAUUUUGUUUUGGGCUUACCAACAGGGAGCACUCCACUUGGCAUGUAUAAACAACUCAUUGAGUUCCAUAAGCAGGGCAAACUAUCGUUCCAGUAUGUGAAAACGUUUAAUAUGGAUGAAUAUGUGGGACUUCCCCGCAAUCACGAGGAAAGCUACCAUUACUACAUGUGGAACAAUUUCUUCAAGCACAUUGACAUUGAACCUGAAAAUGUUCACAUACUAGAUGGUAAUGCCUCUAAUCUAGUUGAAGAGUGUAAUCGUUUCGAGAGACAAAUAAAGGAAGCUGGCGGCGUUGAGCUCUUCAUUGGUGGGAUUGGACCCGAUGGCCACAUAGCCUUUAACGAGCCUGGUUCCUCGCUAGUUUCGCGAACGCGCGUGAAGACCUUGGCCCAAGAUACUCUGGAGGCGAAUGCACGUUUCUUUAACAAUGACAUCCAAAAAGUACCCAAGCAGGCACUUACUGUUGGCGUAGGAACCGUUCUGGAUGCGCAGGAAGUGCUUAUUCUGAUUACAGGCGCCCAAAAAUCGUUUGCUCUGUACAAGGCUAUCGAAGAGGGCGUGAAUCACAUGUGGACAGUAAGUGCUUUUCAGCAGCAUGCCAACACCUUGAUGAUAUGUGACGAGGAUGCCACUUUGGAGUUACGCGUCAAGACAGUCAAGUAUUUUAAGAUGGUUACAGAAAAUGAAAGGUGAAGAUAAAAUUGAGAAAAUUUGAAGAAUUGGCAUGUAUUCUAUUUUGAAAUAUUCAUAAAUAUAUUGGCAAAGUGAAUGCUUCAACUGUCAGUGAUUCUCGAAACCGAAUACAUUAUAAGAAUGAAGAAAUCCAGCAAUAGUUUUGUUUGUAUUCUAUUUUUAAAUGUUCAUAAAUAUAUUCGAAGUUCCAAAAAUGAUAUCGGACAAGCUCUUUAUAUAUUAUUGGCAAAGUGAAUGCUUCAACUGGCGAAACCGAAUACACUAUAUGAAUAAAGGAAUCCAGCAAUAGCUGUAAUCCAUUUAAUACAGUCUGAUGGAUGUUCACUCUAAGUUGAUCGAGCAGCAGACAGCCCAGUAAUGACUACUCUUAACUCUAGUGAAAGACAAGCGUCUUGAAGACAAUGCAUUUAGGCACAACAGGUAUACGUUGAUCAAAUAUCACAACCACAAAAGCGUUGCUUUUAACAUAAUUUCUCUUACCAUUUAUGUAACAUACAUUCUCUGUUAAAUAAAGUACGAACGUAUGAGUUUUUUAUGAAA